Molecule: small RNA, 492 nt
Filed under: Pongo abelii (Sumatran orangutan)
Lineage: Eukaryota; Metazoa; Chordata; Mammalia; Primates; Hominidae
Description: retained intron
Source: RNAcentral
CACAUUAAGUGCUUAAAACACGGUGUGUGACAGAGUAAGUUCUGUAUACCUGGAAAUGUUAGCUGUCCUCAUCAUCAUCAGACCCAGCCUGACUCCUCAAACCCUUCAUUGCCCAGAGCAUAGUUCCAUUUCCUCUCACUGUCCCACUUAGGCCUUCAGGAUACUUUGAGAUCUCUGGAGAAGCUGGCCAGAUUUCCUGCAGUGGUAGGGGGUGCCGAGGGAGUCUGAGGCUGUGGGGGAAUUCUUAGGGUGAAAAGGCCCAGGUCUCCCCCUGCUACCUUCACCCUGGCAGAUGAUGGUGAAUGUGCCACUCUUCGCGGGGAACCCCCAAUUGCAGGAGCAGCUCCGCCUGCAGCUCCCAGUCUUCCUGCAGCAGAUGCAGAACCCAGAGUCACUCUCCAUCCUUACCAAUCCCCGAGCCAUGCAGGCAUUGCUGCAGAUCCAGCAGGGACUACAGACCUUGCAGACCGAGGCCCCUGGGCUGGUACCCAG